UACGAAGGGGGCUAGCGUUGUUCGGAAUUACUGGGCGUAAAGCGUGCGCAGGCGGCUUCUCAAGUCAGUGGUGAAAGCCCGGAGCUCAACUCCGGAAUUGCCAUUGAAACUGUGAGGCUUGAGGACGAGAGAGGUGAGUGGAAUUCCCAGUGUAGAGGUGAAAUUCGUAGAUAUUGGGAGGAACACCAGUGGCGAAGGCGGCUCACUGGACCGGUACUGACGCUGAGGCGCGAAAGCGUGGGGAGCAAACGGG
This 253-nucleotide ribosomal RNA is filed under the name uncultured prokaryote. Its description in RNAcentral is "partial 16S ribosomal RNA". It matches the Rfam family "Bacterial small subunit ribosomal RNA", at positions 524 to 776 of the family's 1533-position model. The record is from RNAcentral.